CCCUUAGAUGUUCGGGGCCGCACGCGCGCUACACUGAAGGAAUCAGCACGUCUUUCUCCUUGUCCGAAAGGACUGGGUAACCCGCUGAACCUCCUUCGUGCUAGGGAUUGGGGCUUGUAAUUCUUCCCCAUGAACGAGGAAUUCCCAGUAAGCGCGAGCCAUAAGCUCGCGUUGAUUACGUCCCUGCCCUUUGUACACACCGCCCGUCGCUACUACCGAUUGGAUGGUUUAGUGAGAUCCUCGGAUUGGUCCCGGAGCGGCCUCUGGUCGUGCCGGAGUGCCGAAAAGAAUGUCGAACUUGAUCAUCUAGAGGAAGUAAAAGUCGUAACA
Molecule: ribosomal RNA, 330 nt
Filed under: uncultured eukaryote
Lineage: Eukaryota
Description: partial 18S ribosomal RNA
Rfam family: Eukaryotic small subunit ribosomal RNA
Source: RNAcentral